CACGUAGGGGGCAAGCGUUGUCCGGAUUUAUUGGGCGUAAAGAGCUCGUAGGCGGCUCAGUAAGUCGGGUGUGAAACCUCCAGGCUCAACCUGGAGACGCCACCCGAUACUGCUGUGGCUAGAGUCCAGUAGGGGAGCGUGGAAUUCCUGGUGUAGCGGUGAAAUGCGCAGAUAUCAGGAGGAACACCAGUGGCGAAGGCGGCGCUCUGGGCUGGAACUGACGCUGAGGAGCGAAAGCGUGGGGAGCGAA
RNAcentral lists this ribosomal RNA (250 nucleotides) under uncultured bacterium. RNAcentral's name for it is "partial 16S ribosomal RNA". It matches the Rfam family "Bacterial small subunit ribosomal RNA", at positions 524 to 772 of the family's 1533-position model. The record is from RNAcentral.